RNAcentral lists this microRNA precursor (165 nucleotides) under Oryza brachyantha (malo sina). RNAcentral's name for it is "MIR812 microRNA precursor family". It matches the Rfam family "MIR812 microRNA precursor family", at positions 27 to 189 of the family's 205-position model. The record is from Rfam by way of RNAcentral. Lineage: Eukaryota; Viridiplantae; Streptophyta; Magnoliopsida; Poales; Poaceae.
UACUAUUUUGAUUCUUCAUCUUAUUUAAAUUUUUUUAUGAUUAAUAUUUUUAUUCUUGCUAGAUGAUAAAACAUGAAUAAUACUUUAUGUGUGACUAAUUUUUUUUAAGUUUUUUACAAAUUUUUUAAAUAAGACGAAUGGUCAAAAGCGUUGGACAUAAAAAUC